Molecule: long non-coding RNA, 353 nt
Organism: Homo sapiens (human)
Lineage: Eukaryota; Metazoa; Chordata; Mammalia; Primates; Hominidae
Exons: 2
Source: RefSeq, a predicted model, not a curated record
UUUUCUGCCACUUAGUUGCUAUGACCUUUUGACAAGUUACUUGACUUCUGUGGAUCUUAGAGUCUUCGUCUGUUAAAACAGGAGUCCCCAACCCCUGGGCCGUGGACUGGUGCUGGUCCAUGGCCUGUUAAGAACUGGGCCACACAGGAAGAGGGUGAAGCAUGGAUGAGGUUAUGACUCAGCUUUGACCAUGCAGCCAAAGACAACAUCCUAGGAACUGUGAGCCAAGGGGAUGGGAGGAAGCCAUGGCCCCGACUGACCCGAUGGAGCUGAGUAGCCCGACCAGUCUGGACCACCCACCCCUGGCCUUUUGCUUGAGAAAUAAAUUAAUUUCAGAUUCUUUAAACCUCUGA